Molecule: unclassified non-coding RNA, 599 nt
Filed under: Hevea brasiliensis (rubber tree)
Lineage: Eukaryota; Viridiplantae; Streptophyta; Magnoliopsida; Malpighiales; Euphorbiaceae
Source: RNAcentral
GUUCGACCGCCUUCUCAGCAUGAGAACAGCUAACAUCACUAGAAGAAGAGACUUUGACUGUACUCAAGUCAAAUGUUUGCUUAUGUAAAGAAGCCAAUUCCACCGACAAACCAGUUAAUACUGCUGCUCUGAAAAUUUCAUCUUCCAACAACUGUUUCUGGAUUGCUGAGAUUUCAGCAUGUGUGCAAGGAGCUUUCUUCCUUACGCGACGUAUGUCCUCAGCAUGUAUCAACUGUUGUCUUAUCAUAUCUCCGUGCAAGACCAUGAUAUCAUCCAUAAGAACCUUUCUUUUACUGGCACUCAUCCGAACAGCAGAUCGGGCACGCUUGCUAGAUGUAAUCUCAGAAGGUCGAGGAGUAGCCUUAAGCUUCAGCGCUGAAGAUCUUCUUCCAACAAGUAUAGAAGAGAGCAAAUCAUCAUCAUCGGGAAUAAAUCCUCCAGACUUUUUGGAACGGACCAUCCUUGAAGAUUCAGCUGAGUUGAGACUCUGCUCAGUUAGUGUGCUCUCAGUGUAACUGCGCUUCUUUCCUGAAAUGAAUUUGUCACCAGCCUCCACCUCAUUGAACCCUGCCAAGUAAUCCGGCGUAGCCUCUGGGAAA